RNAcentral lists this ribosomal RNA (492 nucleotides) under uncultured bacterium. RNAcentral's name for it is "partial 16S ribosomal RNA". It matches the Rfam family "Bacterial small subunit ribosomal RNA", at positions 29 to 507 of the family's 1533-position model. The record is from RNAcentral.
AGUGAACGCUGGCGGUAGGCCUAACACAUGCAAGUCGAACGGCAGCACAGUAAGAGCUUGCUCUUACGGGUGGCGAGUGGCGGACGGGUGAGGAAUACAUCGGAAUCUACUUUUUCGUGGGGGAUAACGUAGGGAAACUUACGCUAAUACCGCAUACGACCUACGGGUGAAAGCAGGGGAUCUUCGUACCUUGCGCGAUUGAAUGAGCCGAUGUCGGAUUAGCUAGUUGGCGGGGUAAAGGACCACCAAGGCGACGAUCCGUAGCUGGUCUGAGAGGAUGAUCAGCCAAACUGGAACUGAAACACGGUCCAGACUCCUACGGGAGGCAGCAGUGGGGAAUAUUGGACAAUGGGCGAAAGCCUGAUCCAGCCAUACCGCGUGGGUGAAGAAGGCCUUCGGGUUGUAAAGCCCUUUUGUUGGGAAAGAAAAGCAGCAGGUUAAUACCCCGCUGUUCUGACGGUACCCAAAGAAUAAGCACCGGCUAACUUCGUG